AGUGAACGCUGGCGGCAGGCCUAAUACAUGCAAGUCGAACGGCAGCACGGCAGAGCUUGCUCUGUGGGUGGCGAGUGGCGGACGGGUGAGGAAUACAUGGGAAUCUGCCCAGUCGUGGGGGAUAACGUAGGGAAACUUACGCUAAUACCGCAUGCGCCCUUCGGGGGGAAAGCCGGGGACCUUCGGGCCUGGCGCGAUUGGAUGAGCCCAUGUCGGAUUAGCUAGUUGGCGGGGUAAUGGCCCACCAAGGCGACGAUCCGUAGCUGGUCUGAGAGGAUGAUCAGCCACACUGGAACUGAGACACGGUCCAGACUCCUACGGGAGCAGCAGUAGGAAUAUUGGACAAUGGGCCAAGCCUGAUCCAGCCGUGCCGCGUGAGUGAAGAAGGCCCUCGGGUUGUAAAGCUCUUUCAGCCGGGAAGAAACGCACUCUACUAACAUAGGGUGUGGAUGACGGUACCGGAAGAAGAAGCACGCUAACUACGU
RNAcentral lists this ribosomal RNA (485 nucleotides) under uncultured bacterium. RNAcentral describes it as "bacterial SSU rRNA". It matches the Rfam family "Bacterial small subunit ribosomal RNA", at positions 29 to 506 of the family's 1533-position model. The record is from RNAcentral.